Molecule: non-coding RNA, 912 nt
Organism: Vicugna pacos (alpaca)
Lineage: Eukaryota; Metazoa; Chordata; Mammalia; Artiodactyla; Camelidae
Source: RefSeq, a predicted model, not a curated record
GCUGGGCUGUUCCUUCAUAAAAUAAUAAUAAUAAAGGUGAAUUCAUGGUGCAGGGAGGUGUUCCAAAUGAAAAUGGACUCAGGGAGGUGAGAAGUGUCGAUUCCACUGCACCCCAGAUCGCUGAGUGACCCCCCGAAUCACUGAAGUGUUCUGUUCCCUUUGGCUUCAGGUCAGUUUAUGGUGCUUGUUUAAAUUGUCUGGAAGGCUCCGACCGAUCCAAAAAUUGCUUGAAUUUGUGUCAGUUGUUUUCUAACAGCAGAAAGUGCACUUGCUUUAGGCUAAGUUGCUCAGUCAUUAACUGGCCGGGGAGGGGGCUGGAUUCACCCCCCAGCCCCAGCCCCAGCCCCGAACGCAGCUUCCCUUCCUUCACCCCAGUGUCGAUUCCAGCUGAAAUUCAAUAACUCCCUCCCUGGCGUGAGCUCUGAUAGGUCCGGUUCUCCCCCUCACACCACUCACAUGCCUAGGUCACAUGUCAUCCUGUCUUCCCUCCUCUGUGUGUUCUCAGAAUCACCGCACAGUCUCUUCCUGAGUGGCAGGUACUCUCCCCGCCCCCAGUUUGAUCUGAUCAGUAACUGUUUUAACAGAAGCUUCUCUUGCUGGGUUGCUGAGGUUCCCGAGCUGGGUGCGCGGUGGGUGGGAGGCGUCUUCCACGUCCCCAUCACAGGGGUGGAGGGAAGGAUGUAGACGGUGGAUUACUGGCCAUUCUGAGUGUGAACAUGAAUAUUACCAUCCGUGUGGGAAAGGCAUCACCCACAGACCCAGGUCGGAGACCUCUGGCCAGAACUUCUCAGGGGAUCCAGAUGAGGACCGUAAGACCCCGGCCCCUCGGGGGUCACUUGGCCUCCCCCAGGGCCCCAGUUUCAGCCGGAGGUGAUCCCCGCCGGGGUGGUGGUGGAGGCCACGAGGGGGCUG